AGUUAAGCCACGCGCAAUACGACGAAUAGUUAAUAUUAUAUUUAUUUUAUAAUUAAUAUUAGAAAGUAUAUUUUAAUUAAAUAACAUAAUAUUAAUAAAUUGUCAUUACUUAAAAAUAUAAUUUUUUUACUGCUAAAUAAAUUUCAGAAUUAGUAUUCAAGCAAAAAUUCAAUAUAGAGAAGUAAAAGAAAAGAAGAAAAAAUUAUUUUUUUUGUUCACAGAUAGAAUAAUAUUUGGCAAAAAUUAUAUUAUUGAGAAUAUACAAUUAUAAAGUGUUCGCGGUUCACGUCCGAAGUAAAAUAUUAUCGUUAGUUGAAGCUUAAUAAUUUUAUUCUGCAAACUAUUAAGAUAAUAUAAUAAUUUAGAAGAAAAAAAUAAGCGAGUUCUGUUUAGAAUGUGGUGCUUAUAUAAAUUAAUACAAUCAUUCAACGUGGAGCCCUUACUUAACAAAAAAAAUCCGACUCAAAGAUAGAAACUAUGGAUCAAUUGGUCUGAUUCGGUCCGGUGAAACAGACCAGUUCGAUCAAGCAAAAAAAGAGGGCAAAAAAAGAGGGCACCGGUUUGACGUAGGCAAAAGAAAAAAGAAAGGAAACUUGAGCCAAUUUAGGGUAGAGCUCUUACUCAACUAUAAUCGGUUCGGUUCAAACAAUUAAAAGAAAAAUGAGGUUCAAAAAUGAAAACGUAUAAAGCAAUUUGUCUGGUUCAGCCCAAUGAAGCAAUUUGACUCGGUCUGGUUUAAGUAAAGACAAAAGAAAACCACGUUUGGUUCAAGCAAAGAAAGAUGAAAUUAUUUGGAGGACUUGAGCCGGUUCAAGAUGGCACUCAUACUUGACAAUCCACGACUCGGUCUGGCUUAAGUAGAGACAGAGGGAAACCAUCUUUGGUUCAAAUAAAGAAAGAUGAAAUUAUUUAGAAGACCUGAGCCGGUUCAAGGUGGCACUCAUACUUGACAACGCGGUUCGGUUCAAAUAAAGGAAA
This 978-nucleotide long non-coding RNA is filed under the name Ananas comosus (pineapple). Its description in RNAcentral is "long non-coding RNA (ACOM_LNC044499)". The record is from RNAcentral. Lineage: Eukaryota; Viridiplantae; Streptophyta; Magnoliopsida; Poales; Bromeliaceae.